ACUGCUCAGUAACACGUGGACAACCUGCCCAAAGGUCCGGGAUAACCCCGGGAAACUGGGGAUAAUACCGGAUAAAUCACAAGUACUGGAAGGUUUUGUGGUUGAAACUUCCGGGGCCUUUGGAUGGGUCUGCGGCGGAUUAGGUUGUUGCCGGUGUAACGUACCGUCAAGCCUGUAAUCCGUACGGGUUGUGGGAGCAAGAGCCCGGAGAUGGAUUCUGAGACACGAAUCCAGGCCCUACGGGGCGCAGCAGGCGCGAAAACUCUACAAUGCAGGCAACUGCGAUAGGGGAACAUCGAGUGAUACUCAUCUUGGGUGUCUGUCCUCCCGUCUAAAAAACGGGAGUUAGCAAGGGCCGGGCAAGACCGGUGCCAGCCGCCGCGGUAAUACCGGCGGCUCGAGUGGUGGCCGAUAUUAUUGAGUCUAAAGGGUCCGUAGCCGGCUUUGCAAGUCUUUUGGGAAAUCCAGCGGCUUAACCGUUGGUCGUCCGGGAGAUACUACAUUGCUUGGGACUGGGAGAGGUAGGAGGUACUCAGGGGGUAGGAGUGAAAUCCUGUAAUCCUUUGGGGACCACCGGUGGCGAAGGCGUCCUACCAGAACAGGUCCGACGGUGAGGGACGAAAGCUAGGGGCACGAACCGGAUUAGAUACCCGGGUAGUCCUAGCCGUAAACGAUGCUCGCUAGGUGUCACAACAAUCGUGAAUUGUUGUGGUGCCGUAGGGAAGCCGUGAAGCGAGCCACUUGGGAAGUACGACCGCAAGGUUGAAACUUAAAGGAAUUGGCGGGGGAGCAC
RNAcentral lists this ribosomal RNA (793 nucleotides) under uncultured archaeon. RNAcentral's name for it is "bacterial SSU rRNA". It matches the Rfam family "Archaeal small subunit ribosomal RNA", at positions 85 to 879 of the family's 1478-position model. The record is from RNAcentral.